GACGAACGCUGGCGGCGUGCUUAACACAUGCAAGUCGAACGAAGUGGCGGACGGGUGAGUAACGCGUAAGCAACCUCCCCUUCAGAGGGGGACAACAGUUGGCAAGGACUGCUAAUACCCCAUACUGAAUGAGGGGAUGGCGUCUGAUUAGCUGUUUGGAGGGGUAACGGCCCACCAAGGCGAUGAUAAGUAGCCGGUUUGAUGGGAUGAACGGUCCCAUUGGGACGGAGACAAGGCCCAGACUCGUACGGGAGGCAGCAGUGGUGAAUCUUCCGCAAUGGACGAAAGUCUGACGGAGCAACGCCGCGUGAGUGAUGACGGUCUUCGGGUUGUAAAGCUCUGUUAAGCGGGACGCGGUACCGGAAUAGAAAGCCACGGCUAACUACGUGCCAGCAGCCGCGGUAAUUC
This 408-nucleotide ribosomal RNA is filed under the name uncultured bacterium. RNAcentral's name for it is "partial 16S ribosomal RNA". It matches the Rfam family "Bacterial small subunit ribosomal RNA", at positions 28 to 526 of the family's 1533-position model. The record is from RNAcentral.